RNAcentral lists this ribosomal RNA (253 nucleotides) under uncultured bacterium. RNAcentral's name for it is "partial 16S ribosomal RNA". It matches the Rfam family "Bacterial small subunit ribosomal RNA", at positions 524 to 776 of the family's 1533-position model. The record is from RNAcentral.
CACGUAGGGCGCAAGCGUUGUCCGGAAUUAUUGGGCGUAAAGAGCUCGUAGGCGGUCUGUUGCGUCCGCUGUGAAAACCCGGGGCUUAACCCCUGGCUUGCAGUGGAUACGGACAGACUAGAGGUAGGUAGGGGAGAAUGGAAUUCCCGGUGUAGCGGUGAAAUGCGCAGAUAUCGGGAGGAACACCGGUGGCGAAGGCGGGUCUCUGGGCCGGAACUGACGCUAAGGAGCGAAAGCGUGGGGAGCGAACAGG